UGGACAGAUUAUUGUAUUCGACUAUAUUCACAGCGUGAAAUAGGGGAUUACACUGUUUUUAAAACGGAAAGUGAAUCAAUUAACAUAAUAGACUCCU
This 97-nucleotide microRNA precursor is filed under the name Nicotiana sylvestris (wood tobacco). RNAcentral describes it as "MIR6152 microRNA precursor family". It matches the Rfam family "MIR6152 microRNA precursor family". The record is from Rfam by way of RNAcentral. RNAcentral also lists the same sequence under 1 other name. Lineage: Eukaryota; Viridiplantae; Streptophyta; Magnoliopsida; Solanales; Solanaceae.